Erythranthe guttata (spotted monkey flower) is the source of this 1577-nucleotide non-coding RNA. The record is from RefSeq and is a predicted model, not a curated record. Lineage: Eukaryota; Viridiplantae; Streptophyta; Magnoliopsida; Lamiales; Phrymaceae.
UGGUAUCUUUUUGAAUAUCAUAUUCCAAUAUUAUUUCCCCGAAUACCUGGUCUACUAAACAUCGAUACUAUUUACAUGGGCAAUUGAACAGAAAAUACACAAACGAGAAUUACAGGAAAAAAAAUUGGGGCCCAAGAGUAAAUUUCUAGAGCGAGAAAGGCGCAGAGGAGAGAGAAGGAGCGGUUCAACGGCAGCAUUUCCCGGCUAAAUAAGGUAUUUUGCGUAAUGUCCACCCAAUUUCCUCUGAUCAGAUAACCAUAUGCUUUUUGUUUCUCUCUCUAGAUUUUGAUCCCUCCGUUUUCUCCCAUAUUCCCCCUCACAUUCAUCUCCUUGCACAAAAAGCUUUUUUUUUUUUCCAAAUUAGGGUUAGGGUUUGAGUUCGCUGAUUCUGUCGUUGUCACACCUUUUUGAAGAAGGGGAGGAAUGAUGGAGAAGCCGAAGACCGUGUAUCCUCUGUUUACGUAUGCGAUGCGCAUUUACGUGUAGGUUUUUGUGAUUGCACAUUGCAUCAGAUUCGAUUGUAGAGAGAGAGAGAGAGAAAGUUAGAGAGAGAAAGAUUAAGAGAGAGAAAAGAAGUGGGAGAAUUUUCAAUUUGGAAGAAUGAGCGCUUCAAGAUUCAUAAAGUGUGUUACAGUGGGCGAUGGCGCCGUUGGAAAGACGUGUCUUUUGAUCUCAUACACCAGCAAUACCUUCCCCACGGAUUACGUGCCUACUGUAUUUGAUAAUUUCAGUGCAAAUGUGGUUGUCAAUGGAAGCACUGUUAACUUAGGCCUGUGGGAUACUGCUGGACAGGAGGAUUAUAACAGAUUAAGACCUUUGAGUUAUCGUGGAGCUGAUGUUUUCAUUCUGGCAUUUUCUCUCAUCAGCAAGGCAAGCUAUGAAAAUGUUUCCAAGAAGUGGAUUCCAGAAUUGAAGCAUUAUGCCCCUGGUGUCCUAUAGUUCUUGUUGGCACAAAACUUGAUCUUCGAGAUGAUAAGCAGUUCUUCGUUGAUCAUCCUGGGGCUGUACCAAUCACUGCAGCGCAGGGGGAGGAACUCAGAAAAUUGAUCGGUGCUCCCGCUUAUAUUGAAUGUAGUUCAAAAACACAAGAGAAUGUCAAAGCAGUGUUUGAUGCUGCCAUUAAAGUUGUUCUUCAGCCACCUAAGCAAAAGAAAAAGAAGGGAAAGGCUCAAAAGGGCUGCUCGAUUUUGUAAUCAGCCAUUAGGUGUGAAGAUAUAUGCCCCCCCUGCCAAUCAUCGUUCAAGUACUCUCUUUCUUUUGCCUAAGAAAUAGGAACCCCACCCCCCCACCCCACCCCCCUCGUAUUCUUUACGUUCAAGGUAGUAGCGAGCGAUCUAUGUCAAAAAGGGUCGGUGGCUUGAAAUUCUAUGUAAUGCAUUUAAAUAUCUUCUAAUUUACCUAAGUCCGCACUACUUUAGGCCAAUUCGUUUGUGCCCGUCCUGUUUUAAUUCGUGUCUCUUUGUGUAUUCACCAGACAUAAAAAUUUUGUGAUGUCGGCUGAUAUUGAGUUACGUUUGUAUGCUUUCACAUUUACCAGAAUGGAUGCUCUAUUGCUAUUUAUAUUCGUGUUUGAAGUU